GCAUCUGACCGGCCUUGAAAGAGGUUUUCCCUUCGGGGCAGAUGUGUAGGUGCUGCAUGGUUGUCGUCAGCUCGUGCCGUGAGGUGUCGGCUUAAGUGCCAUAACGAGCGCAACCCUCAUCAUUAGUUACCAUCAGGUAAGGCUGGGGACUCUAAUGAGACUGCCAUCGUAAGAUGUGAGGAAGGUGGGGAUGACGUCAAAUCAGCACGGCCCUUACGUCCGGGGCGACACACGUGUUACAAUGGGUGGUACAAAGGGCAGCUACCUGGCGACAGGAUGCUAAUCUCCAAAACCACUCUCAGUUCGGAUCGGAGUCUGCAACUCGACUCCGUGAAGCUGGAUUCGCUAGUAAUCGCGCAUCAGCCACGGCGCGGUGAAUACGUUCCCGGGCCUU
This 394-nucleotide ribosomal RNA is filed under the name uncultured Proteiniphilum sp. RNAcentral's name for it is "bacterial SSU rRNA". It matches the Rfam family "Bacterial small subunit ribosomal RNA", at positions 988 to 1382 of the family's 1533-position model. The record is from RNAcentral. Lineage: Bacteria; Pseudomonadati; Bacteroidota; Bacteroidia; Bacteroidales; Dysgonomonadaceae.